RNAcentral lists this ribosomal RNA (521 nucleotides) under uncultured bacterium. Its description in RNAcentral is "bacterial SSU rRNA". It matches the Rfam family "Bacterial small subunit ribosomal RNA", at positions 777 to 1297 of the family's 1533-position model. The record is from RNAcentral.
AAUAGAUACCCGGUAGUCCACGCCGUAAACGUUGGGCGCUAGAUGUGGGGACCAUUCCACGGUUUCCGCGUCGUAGCUAACGCAUUAAGCGCCCCGCCUGGGGAGUACGGCCGCAAGGCUAAAACUCAAAGGAAUUGACGGGGGCCCGCACAAGCGGCGGAGCAUGCGGAUUAAUUCGAUGCAACGCGAAGAACCUUACCAAGGCUUGACAUAUGCGAGAACGCUCUAGAAAUAGAGAACUCUUUGGACACUCGUAUACAGGUGGUGCAUGGUUGUCGUCAGCUCGUGUCGUGAGAUGUUGGGUUAAGUCCCGCAACGAGCGCAACCCUCGUCGCAUGUUGCCAGCACGUAAUGGUGGGAACUCAUGUGAGACUGCCGGGGUCAACUCGGAGGAAGGUGGGGAUGACGUCAAAUCAUCAUGCCCCUUAUGUCUUGGGCUUCACGCAUGCUACAAUGGCCGGUACAAAGGGCUGCGAAACCGCAAGGUGGAGCGAAUCCCAAAAAGCCGGUCUCAGUUCGGA